GAUGAAGAACGCAGCGAAAUGCGAUACUUGGUGUGAAUUGCAGAAUCCCGUGAACCAUCGAGUCUUUGAACGCAAGUUGCGCCCGAAGCCAUUAGGCCGAGGGCACGCCUGCCUGGGCGUCACACGUCGUUGCCCCCCCCAUCUACUCCCUCGGGAUUGCGGGGGGCGGAUGAUGGCCUCCCGUGUGCCUCGCCGCGCGGUUGGCAUAAAUACCAAGUCCUCGGCGACGCACGCCACGACAAUCGGUGGUUGCGAAACCUCGGUUGCCCGUCGUGUGCGGUCGUCGCGCAUCGAGGGCUCGAAAAAAUUGCCGGGUUCCGGCUCGGCUUUCAACGCGACCCCAGGUCAGGCGGGGUUACCCGCUGAAUUUAAGCAUAUCAAUAAGCGGAGGA
Molecule: unclassified non-coding RNA, 392 nt
Filed under: soil metagenome
Description: partial contains 5.8S ribosomal RNA, internal transcribed spacer 2, and large subunit ribosomal RNA
Rfam family: 5.8S ribosomal RNA (bases 1-122)
Source: RNAcentral